CACGGCUCAGGGCACACACGGCUCAGGGCACACACGGCUCAGGGCACACACGGCUCAGGGCACACACGGCCCAGGGCACACACGGCCCAGGGCACACACGGCUCAGGGCACACACGGCCCAGGGCACACACGGCCCAGGGCACACACAGCUCAGUGCACACACAGCCCAGGGCACACACGGCUCAGGGCACACACGGCUCAGGGCACACACGGCCCAGGGCACACACAGCUCAGGGCACACACGGCCCAGGGCACACACGGCCCAGGGCACACACAGCCCAGGGCACACACAGCUCAGGGCACACACGGCCCAGGGCACACACGGCCCAGGGCACACACGGCCCAGGACACACACGGCCCAGGGCACACACGGCCCAGGACACACACGGCCCAGGGCACACAUGGCCCAGGGCACA
Molecule: long non-coding RNA, 416 nt
Organism: Apodemus sylvaticus (European woodmouse)
Lineage: Eukaryota; Metazoa; Chordata; Mammalia; Rodentia; Muridae
Exons: 5
Source: RefSeq, a predicted model, not a curated record